CCACCAAGGUGCCAUUUGGCAAAGAACCUGCACCAGUGGAGACUGACAAUGGUGACCAGUAGGAGACUGUGGUUAUACUGGACGACUCCAUGUGGGGAAUAUGUGGAAUUGCAUGAGCGGCUUCCACUGUCUCUCUGAGAAGUUUUAGGGUGCCGAGUAGCUUGAUUUUACUGCCAACCAUCUCCUGAACACCUUAGCGGUCACUUUUCCACUGCUGUAAAAAUGAGGAACCUGAUCUUGGUUGCUGUGAUGCUUCAGCUGGCGAUCAUAAUAAUAGGGAUUAAUGGGG
Thunnus maccoyii (southern bluefin tuna) is the source of this 289-nucleotide long non-coding RNA. RefSeq lists it as uncharacterized. The record is from RefSeq and is a predicted model, not a curated record. The transcript is spliced from 4 exons. Lineage: Eukaryota; Metazoa; Chordata; Actinopteri; Scombriformes; Scombridae.